CUUUCACUUUCACCUUUACCUGAAACACUCCUUGGGUGGCUGACCUGGAUGGCCUCUGCUGCUGCCACUGCUGCCACCUGUGCUGCUGCUGCCCCCUCAAGAGAGGGGAGAGAUUCCCUACUGCACCACCUUGCACUGCACUGCACCGCACCUGCACUGGAUUACUUCCCUAAUUGGCUGUUUUCUUCUGCACUCCCCCAUAGUUGCCUCAAUGCAUCUGAUCCUUUGCCUUGUUUCCUGCCUGCUGCCUUGCUGCUAGGUGCCUGAAUGGAGACCUGACGGGCUCCUGGACUGAGCUUUAACAAAUGGAGCCCCUCCAGCACUCCAGCCAUCUUUUACACCUGCCUCAGAAGUCUCCUCUGUGUGUUUUGUCCUUGUGUGGCCAUGAUCCAGCUGGCAGGGCGAGAAUAUCUGGAGGCUGAGGGGUGCUUUGUGAUUCCUUUUCAGGGGCUCUUGGUGUCUUUUGAAAGGAAAGAUGAAGAAAACAUCAUAACCAUUUUGAAAAAGAAAAUAGAUCCAUGCUUGUGUGCAACGUUGCUAUCAACUUAAAUUAUACAUGUAUAUAACACAAAUCUACGAAAAGAUGUAGUUGCAGCUUCAGUUCUAUUUAGUUACUUUUGCUUAUAUGUAGGGUCAUUUUUUUAAAUAAAGACAUCUCCUAAGUCUAACUCUUAUCUUUGGGUUACAUGUAACUGUAGCUCAAAUGUCAUUUCUAAAUAAACAGGUUUAAAAAGUUGAUACUAUUUGAAUUAAACAGAAAGUAAUGUAAAUAUUAAUAGAAACACCCAUCAGUGUGCAGACUUACAUAUUAUACAGUCUCAGGCGAUGCACUAUUUAACUGAUGCCAUUUCUUCAGCUUUAAAGAACCAGAGGUAAUUAUAUUGCUCUAUCUACUACCCAAAAGAGUUGUAAGAAAUUAUUAAUGUCAAUUUUGACCACAUAAAGUACCAUAAUACCCAGUAUUUGAAGUGUCUAUAGGUUAUAGGGGAGAGGAGAGCUUAGGGUUCUGCACUUGCUUUUUCUUGUUCAUGAAAAUGC
This is a long non-coding RNA of Alligator mississippiensis (American alligator), 1038 nucleotides long. RefSeq lists it as uncharacterized. The transcript is spliced from 3 exons. NCBI's taxonomy places the organism in Eukaryota, Metazoa, Chordata, Crocodylia, Alligatoridae. The record is from RefSeq and is a predicted model, not a curated record.